RNAcentral lists this long non-coding RNA (1272 nucleotides) under Ananas comosus (pineapple). Its description in RNAcentral is "long non-coding RNA (ACOM_LNC024654)". Lineage: Eukaryota; Viridiplantae; Streptophyta; Magnoliopsida; Poales; Bromeliaceae. The record is from RNAcentral.
UGUUUGCUGAGCAGAUUUCAGAGAUGCUGUUUCGCAGGUUCCAGCGUCGACGUUUCGUAUUCUGGCCCGUUCUCUGCGUAGGAGCGUCGGAAUUCAGCGAAACCUGGGCCAUUGGAUUCAUGACUUCAAGACGAAGCUUCAGACCCUUGUUUGCUGAAUUUGGAUAAGGUUAACUUGGUCGCGAUUUAACGCUUUCUUCCUGCCAGGAGUUGCUUGAGAGGUGGGUUACAUCGGUUUUUACUCCUAAGUUCAUAUUCGUCGGCAUGUAUAAUUUUUGACCUUUGGAUACUCUAUUCUAACUCGAAUCAUGGAUUAUAUUGUAGAUUGCAAAUCUGAAUUUGGAGCAUGUGGUAAUAAUUAAGUAGGUUAUAUAUGUUGGACUUGAAAAUUGAAUUAGGAGAAAACCUGCGAUUUUGACCUGUCACUUGUUUAAACUGGCCUGAUUUAGCUCUAGGAGCCGUUAUUAAAUUGUACUGUCGCAGUAUCUUGGACGAGUACUCCCAGGUAUGAGAUUACAUUACACUCGUGCUGGUGCGCCGACAGUGAAUUUUUACAGGAUCGUUCAGGUUGUUCCGGACUGGUGGUGCCGUCAGAGUGACGGUGGACCCGUAUCGCCUUUUGGCGUCAGAUUGUGCCGAGGGCACAUACCUGUUGGUGGUUAGACCAGUUUGAGUGGUUACUUGACUUUGGCUUUUCAGAGCCUGUUUGAGCUCGACAGAGAUACGCUGCAUACUCGGUUGGGUAGCGCCACGAAUGCCACUCCGGAGUCAGGCUUUAUGCUUUCGCGUUGGUGUCGCUCAUGCCGUUGGACUUGCUCUCCACGGACCAGUUAGUGUGGAUAGAGCCGAUAGUCGCAACGGCGGGCAGGACGGGUGUAUUCAGUCCCGGGAGGUAUGCUUACAGUCUCGAUUGAUUGGGUCAGAUUUGACAUUUCCUACAGUUGGUUAGCGUAGAGCUUGAUAGUGUAGUGGUUGAUAGCGGUAGAGUGUACCCUCCUGCUUUUCCUUCUAUCCUUGCUCCCUUCUGUAGACUUAGUGGGUGACCGAUGUCGUUUUGGGCGGUACCCACUGAGGACUACUUGUUUUUACAGUAGUUCUCACGCCCAGUUGUUACUUGUGUUUUGCAGAGCCACAGGUGUCGGCUGCUGCAUCUUCCGCCGACCAGGAUCGAGGCAAGGGCGUUGCGAGCUAGAGCCCUACCCGACAGUCAGAGCUAGAGGCUUUCCCCUACUACAGGUAGUUGUUGUUUUGGAGUUUAUGUACAUAGUUGUUU